CCUCGGCAUGGGACGCCAGACCCAGCUCCGCAGCCCAGCCUCUGGUUGCCUUUCUUUUUGGGGCGGUCGCUCUCCCCCUGCAGAGUGGGUGAAGGUCCCUCCUCCUCCAAGGAACCUGGAGGCAGUACAGCAAGAGGGGGUCCCUGGUAGCCUGUCUCCACUGGAAGUUCCGGAGAGCUGAAAGUAGAAGAAGCACCAGAGACCAGAACUGCUACAAGGGUACAAGGCUUCUGCAUAGAUGACCUUGGCCUUCUUCCAUGGAUUAACAAAGGACAUCAUGAAUCUGAGGAAGGAGACCCAAAAAUCUUUCAAGGACUCUGCCACGAGAGAACCAUCUCACUUGAUUGUGCAUCACUAGGUCACCAUAGCUUUCAGAGUAGCAGCCGGGUUAGUCUGUAUUCACAAAAAGCUCACGAAAGCUUAUGCUCAAAUAAAUUGGUUAGUCUCUAAGAUGCCACAAGUACUUCUUUUCUUUUUAGGUCAUCAUACUCUGUCUCAUAUUCUUCCAGUAAUGCUCAAAACUGUCGUUGAUUCAGCGCUCUUGAAACAAUAAAAUUGACCACCUUUACAACCAA
Molecule: long non-coding RNA, 575 nt
Organism: Chelonia mydas (Green sea turtle)
Lineage: Eukaryota; Metazoa; Chordata; Testudines; Cheloniidae
Exons: 3
Source: RefSeq, a predicted model, not a curated record